AAAAUUGACACCGUCACGGGUGAACGGGAAGUCCGGUGAGAGUCCGGCGCUGUCCUCGCAACCGUGAGCAGGCAAAAACUCGGGGGGUUUAACCACUGGGAAGGAAAGGUGAUAAGCCGCCUUCCUGGGAAGGUUAAACCCUUUAAGAAGCCUGCGAGCCGGGAGACCGGCCCGUGAUGGGUAGGUGAA
This 189-nucleotide non-coding RNA is filed under the name Thermovibrio ammonificans. The record is from RNAcentral. Lineage: Bacteria; Pseudomonadati; Aquificota; Aquificia; Desulfurobacteriales; Desulfurobacteriaceae.